This 2936-nucleotide unclassified non-coding RNA is filed under the name Schizosaccharomyces pombe (fission yeast). Its description in RNAcentral is "antisense RNA (predicted), possible alternative UTR". The record is from RNAcentral. Lineage: Eukaryota; Fungi; Ascomycota; Schizosaccharomycetes; Schizosaccharomycetales; Schizosaccharomycetaceae.
CUAAAAAAAAAAAACAAAUAAAUAAAAAUAAAAUAAAUUUAAAAUAAUAAUAACAAUAAUAAUAUUUCUUUUUUUUAUUUUCUUUAUUUCUUUUUUUUUUUAAUUUAAUUUUGCUUUUUAUUCUUUUUUUCUUGUUCAAUUUAGGUACUUUUCUUUCCUUGUCUUGUUCAUCUUUUAUUUUCUUUUACUGUAUUCUAAGGCACUCCUUUAAUAAAAGGUACUUGGUAGCGAUUCCUCUUCUCCUUCUCACAAACCUUUAUUAGCGACAUCUACCGCACUACCAACCUCUCGACAUCAACUUGACCCUUCGCUUCUCUAUUCCGUCCCACCCUCCCUCGCUUUUUACAAACCUUCUUACUUAGCGAUACACCUUAAUUCGAGCUUCUUUCACAAAAGUCCAUAUCAAGUCGUUCGUCUCCCUUUUCACUUCUAUAACCCCAGUCUUUACUCUCUCGUGUAAUUUUUUUUCUCCUACUCUUACUCUUCUACUUUUACUACUACUCUUCUUUUUUCUCUAUUUUCCUACACUUCCCUCUCUCUCUCUCUCUCUCUCUCUCUCUCUCAUCCUCUUCAUAUCUAUCUUUCAUUAAAUUUCCUACAUCUUACUUCUUCUUCUCUCUCUUUUCCCUCCUUUUUCUCUUCCCCCCCCCCCUCAACUACCAUCCAUCGCCAUCAAGUUCGUAUUUGUCGCAAUCCAGUCAUGCACUUGUCGACUAAUCCCAUGGAAAUACGGUGUUGCAUACUUUGAAUAGAUCGCAUAGUGGUGAUCAAACGGAUUUUCUAGACAUUUCAACAGUAGAUGCACAUACGAAACUAAACUCAUAUAAUCAUAUCCCGUAAUUUGAGGCAACGUAUUGCUCCAGUUUUCCUCUUGCAAUAUAGAUUGGCCGGUGUAGGCGCAUGUCGCUACCAAUUGACUCGCCCUUAGACUUGAAAAUCUUUGUUCCACUAGCGAUACUUCAAGAAAAUAUUUUAUCAUUAUUCGCAGCUGCGACUCCCAUUUGUUGACAAUCGUCAAUAGCCUCAAAAACGAUACUGGCCCCGGCCACCCAAGUUGAUAUUGAAGAACCAUAAGCAUAUACUUUUCCAUUCCGCAAAUAUCUUCUCCUAUCCAUUCUCCCUCCAACACUAUUUCCAAAUCUUUCACUGUAGGAGGAUGGAUCUCUUCAUACUUGCAAGCAAUAAACAGCGCCGUUGCGCCGCAAAGUUUCAUUUUCGAUGCUGGCACAUUUUGUAGAGAUAGAAAUCUAUCCAAUACAUUGAUCGAUAGGAAUAAGGAUUCUGGAAGCAGGUUUAUACAUGUAUGCACCCCCACAAUCCAAUUGAUCACACUAGCCCUCAUCUCUGUAACAUAAUAUGGUUGAGCCGACAUAUGUCGGUAAUCAGGCAUAAAUCGAAUCUAAAAAAUGUUAAUAAAUAAAAACUUCUUCAACUCCUUCAUCUUCUUGUUUUCCUUCCCCCUUUUCUUCCCAUUUUUUUCAUACCUCCAAUUUCUCCAUGUGCGAUAGGAUUUCUUUUGCGUAUUCCACAGACACCGAUUCAUCUGCUGAAUAUCUCAUCUGUAAUUCCUCCUCUUCAUCCUCCUCUGCACAAUUGUCAUUUGAUUCUUCAAUCGCUAUGCCAAAUUCCGAAACACUGCAAUUAGGACUUUGAACGUUACUGAUCGAGCAAACAUCCAAAUCUACCAAAAGCUGUUUCUCCGUAAAGACUAUCUCUUCCUCUAAAGGUGACGCUAAAAAACUAUCAUAGUCCUUUUGUAUUUGCGACUCUUCAAUUGAACUAAUUCCAUGCCAGCUCUGUGACGGAAAAUGUUUAUCUGAUGGGCUACACCCAUUUUGAAGGGAUAUUUCUCGUACCUGUGCGUUCACCCAGCCUUUUACGUUCAAUGAUUUGGAAACAUAAUUGCUUAUUUCUUGAAGCGCAACUCUUUUGUUGUUAGAGUUCAUGUUUGAAUUGGUUCUCGUUGCUGAAACGGUCGCUUUAAUUGUUUCAACCAAGCUCUUAGGUAGGCAAGUAUCAGUCAAUACAAUUGCUUUUACUCUUUAAUGAUUGGGAAUCAAAUCAAACCGUUUUCUUGAACUUUUUGUUGUAAAAUGGCAGUAUGCUAUUAGCAGGUUCUGUUUGUUUACAGUGAGUCAACAAAAAGUUGAUGGUGAAAAUGUUUGUUUAUUUCCCAUAUACAUAUACCAACGGUCGUAACCUUAAAGUAAAACACAACCCAAAACUAAACUUUACCUCUACUAUAUCAGAAUUCAUGCUGCUUAAAAAUUCCAAACAAUGCCCGAAUUCAUGAAAUAGGUUUUUGUGUUGAUCGAAACGUUAUCAAAGUAAAGCAAGGAUUUUGAUCAAAAACUCUUUUAUUAUUUGUAUUGAUGAGUUUUUACAGUCGCUCAUCGGUUGUAAACAUUCCAUUAUUUUACCGUUUUCGAAUCAUUGAAAACUGAACAUAAGAAAUCUUGCUACAAUUAAGCUUUUUUUCUAUUAGGUAACCAUCAAACAAGCUUAAAAAAAAUAAUUAAUUUACGCCUUCUCGUAAGUUAUUAUAAUCAAACAAAUUGAAAUGUAAUUGAAAAGAAUCUCCUAUUCUAAGAUUUUUCUACAAACUUGCUUCGAAAGUUUCUUCUGCACUUAUACAAUGCUAUAAGGAAUAUUCCUUUCUUCUAAUUUUGAUCGAUUUUCGCAAAGUAGGAUUGCCUGAUACAAUGUCAAGGAUCUGAUUUAAUUUCCUUAAAAAAAAAAAAAAGAAAGAAAAUGAAAACUCAACAACUUUAAAUCAUAUUACAGUUCCCAUAUUUACUUGAUAUCCCAAGUUUACUACGACUUAACUUCUACCACUAUCCUUUGAGAAGCACAUGGAUUCGAAGAAAUAGCAUAUGGAAGUUUAAAAGUUAACGGGUCUCCGAAAUCCAUUCAAAAGUUUAAUUCCAUAAAAACAA